GAUGAACGUUGGCGGCGUGCCUAAUACAUGCAAGUCGAACGAAGACUGUAGUAAUACUGUCUUAGUGGCGAACGGGUGAGUAACGCGUGGGUGACCUGCCCCGAAGUGUGGGAUAACAGUUCGAAAGAACUGCUAAUACCGCAUAAUAUCCAAGAGAUUAGACGCUUUUGGAUUAAAGGAGUAAUUCGCUUCGGGAGGGGCCCGCGUCCCAUCAGCUAGUUGGUAAGGUAAUGGCUUACCAAGGCGAUGACGGGUAGGGGACCUGAGAGGGUGGCCCCCCAAAUGGAACUGAAACACGGUCCAUACACCUACGGGUGGCAGCAGUAGGGAAUAUUAGUAAUGGGCGAAAGCCUGAACUAGCAACGCCGCGUGUGCGAAGAAGGCCUUCGGGUUGUAAAGCACUUUUGUAGAGGAUGGGGAAGGACGGUACGUCUCAGAAUAAGUCUCGGCUAACUACGUG
Molecule: ribosomal RNA, 460 nt
Filed under: uncultured bacterium
Lineage: Bacteria
Description: bacterial SSU rRNA
Rfam family: Bacterial small subunit ribosomal RNA
Source: RNAcentral